GGCUCAGACCUGUGGAGAGUCAUUUCUGAGCCCCACGGUGGGAAUAAACCUGCCUUCCAAGAUCUGCGAGUGCCGCUUGUUUCCUCCUGCCUUCCAAGAUCUCGGAGUGCCGCUUGGUUCUUCCGUCGGGUGAUCCAGACCAGGUGAAGAAACAGGCCUUGCGAGUUUGAGGCAGAGCCCUGGGUCCCACAGCCAGCAAGUGACUGAGGCAGGACUCCACCAGGCUCUUGUGACUUGAAAGCCGCUGCUCCCUGGAGCGUUGGGUACCUGCCACAGAACAUCAUCUCCUUUUUGGAUUUCCUUUAUAAUCUGUUCAGCCUUCCUCAAAAAUACGGCAGGACUUGGAAGUGGAAGGAAGGCUUCAGGGUUGCCGGAGGGAAUGUUCAGCAUACUCACA
This is a long non-coding RNA of Prionailurus viverrinus (fishing cat), 397 nucleotides long. RefSeq lists it as uncharacterized. Lineage: Eukaryota; Metazoa; Chordata; Mammalia; Carnivora; Felidae. The transcript has 3 exons. The record is from RefSeq and is a predicted model, not a curated record.